This is a long non-coding RNA of Sinocyclocheilus anshuiensis, 460 nucleotides long. RefSeq lists it as uncharacterized. The transcript is spliced from 2 exons. The record is from RefSeq and is a predicted model, not a curated record. Lineage: Eukaryota; Metazoa; Chordata; Actinopteri; Cypriniformes; Cyprinidae.
AAUAAGCAUUUAAAACCGGUUUUGUUCUCUAUACCCCUAAAUGCAGCGAUAAAAGGCAAAGAUCGAUGUCAAAGAGCACGAGCAGGAGGAGGUCGUGGGGUGUGUGACAGCUGGGCGGAGAGACUGAAACUCCGGAGGCAGCACGCGCGCUGGGGCGGGCAGAUGUGAGGCUGAAUCGGCGCUCGGUGCUGUUUUUGUAACCGAGGGGAGAGAGACCGAGAGGAGGGGGGAAAUCUAAAGGGAGCCCGAGCCGCCGGUUCCGUUGCAGCGCGAGAAAUUUUGGGUGAAGGAUGCAGCGGAACCGGAGAAUUCCUCUGAUGCACGCGCGCUGCCUCCUCUUGUGUGUGAUGAGCGCGUGCUGGACGGCGCUGGAGGUGCGGGGGUCCCAACCGGAGAUCCCCUUAUCAGUGGUGAAACUCUGGGCUUCAGCAUUUGGUGGUGAAAUAAAAUCAAUAGCUUC